GAGAGAUUGACGGGGACGUCACUCAUCGCAUAGGAGCGGGGUGGUCAAAGUGGAGGCUUGCAUCAGGAGUCGUGUGUGACAAGAAAGUUCCACAGAAACUCAAGGGGACAUUUUAUAGAGCUGUGGUUAGGCCUCCCAUGUUGUAUGGGGCUGGCCAGUGAAGAACUCUCACGUCAGAGGAUGAAGGUGGGGGUAGCCCCGGUGGAUGAGAAGAUGCGAGAAGCGAGGCUGAG
This 233-nucleotide long non-coding RNA is filed under the name Nicotiana benthamiana. RNAcentral's name for it is "long non-coding RNA (NBEN_LNC010066)". Lineage: Eukaryota; Viridiplantae; Streptophyta; Magnoliopsida; Solanales; Solanaceae. The record is from RNAcentral.